Arabidopsis thaliana (thale cress) is the source of this 379-nucleotide long non-coding RNA. RefSeq annotates it as other RNA. The transcript has a single exon. Lineage: Eukaryota; Viridiplantae; Streptophyta; Magnoliopsida; Brassicales; Brassicaceae. The record is from RefSeq.
GGUCAGGCCCAGUAAAGGGAGCCUCCAGCAACAUUAGGGUUUCUCCAAUCGCCGUCACAGGAAAAGACGGAGGUACACCCGGCGCCGACGGCUCACUAAUCACCUGCCCCCAGAAACUAACCGAUAGCUUGGAGCAGAGCCAAACAUGAUCCAAAUGAUGUGCAUGGGGUGGUUGAGCUCUUGUCAUGUAACAUGAUCAAUAGGGAGGGGCUUCUAGAUGAGGCGGAUUGGAUACAGAUCUAGAAUAAUUGGGCAACGCAAGAAAACGAAACCCGGAAUUAUUAAGCAGUACACCACUGGAAGGUAAAGAGGUCUCACUUGUCCACUUUGAGGAAGAUAAUGAGAGCAGAGCGAACAUCAGGAGGAAUGUCGAGCUCUU